RNAcentral lists this ribosomal RNA (569 nucleotides) under uncultured Actinomycetes bacterium. Its description in RNAcentral is "bacterial SSU rRNA". It matches the Rfam family "Bacterial small subunit ribosomal RNA", at positions 338 to 916 of the family's 1533-position model. The record is from RNAcentral. Lineage: Bacteria; Bacillati; Actinomycetota; Actinomycetes.
CCUACGGGAGGCAGCAGCAGGGAAUAUUGCACAAUGGGCGAAAGCCUGAUGCAGCGACGCCGCGUGAGGGAUGAAGGCCUUCGGGUUGUAAACCUCUUUCAGGAGGGAAGAAGCGAAAGUGACGGUACCUCCACAAGAAGCCCCGGCCAACUACGUGCCAGCAGCCGCGGUAAUACGUAGGGGGCAAGCGUUGUCCGGAUUCAUUGGGCGUAAAGAGCUCGUAGGCGGCUCAGCAAGUCGGUCGUGAAAGCCCGGGGCUCAACCCCGGGACGCCGAUCGAAACUGCUGUGGCUAGGGUCCGGUAGAGGAGAGUGGAAUUCCCGGUGUAGCGGUGAAAUGCGCAGAUAUCGGGAGGAACACCAGUAGCGAAGGCGGCUCUCUGGGCCGGCACCGACGCUGAGGAGCGAAAGCUAGGGGAGCAAACAGGAUUAGAUACCCUGGUAGUCCUAGCCGUAAACGUUGGGCACUAGGUGUGGCGGACUCAUUGACGUCUGCCGUGCCGCAGCUAACGCAUUAAGUGCCCCGCCUGGGGAGUACGACCGCAAGGUUGAAACUCAAAUGAAUGACGG